UACUGAGCCGUACCACGCAGUGGAAAAGCGCCACAAGACUGGUUGCCCACUGAAGCUAAGCAGGGCUGAGCCUGGUCAGUACCUGGAUGGGAGACCUCCUGAGAAAACUAGGUUGCUGCUGGAA
RNAcentral lists this ribosomal RNA (124 nucleotides) under Sinocyclocheilus anshuiensis. The record is from RNAcentral. Lineage: Eukaryota; Metazoa; Chordata; Actinopteri; Cypriniformes; Cyprinidae.